AGGCUCAUAGCUCAGCGGUAGAGCACUGGACUUUUAAUCCACGGGUCAUGGGUUCGAUCCCCGUUGAGCCUA
RNAcentral lists this transfer RNA (72 nucleotides) under Marsupiomonas sp. NIES 1824. RNAcentral's name for it is "tRNA-Lys". It matches the Rfam family "tRNA". Rfam says of the family: Transfer RNA (tRNA) molecules are approximately 80 nucleotides in length. Their secondary structure includes four short double-helical elements and three loops (D, anti-codon, and T loops). The record is from RNAcentral. Lineage: Eukaryota; Viridiplantae; Chlorophyta; Pedinophyceae; Marsupiomonadales; Marsupiomonadaceae.